Molecule: ribosomal RNA, 468 nt
Filed under: uncultured bacterium
Lineage: Bacteria
Description: partial 16S ribosomal RNA
Rfam family: Bacterial small subunit ribosomal RNA
Source: RNAcentral
GAUGAACGCUGGCGGCGUGCUUAACACAUGCAAGUCGAACGGAAAGGCCAGUGCUUGCACUGGUACUCGGGUGGCGAACGGGUGAGUAACACGUGGGUGAUCUGCCCUGCACUUCGGGAUAAGCCUGGGAAACUGGGUCUAAUACCGGAUAGGACAAUGGUUUGGAUGCCGUUGUGGAAAGUUUUUUCGGUGUGGGAUGAGCUCGCGGCCUAUCAGCUUGUUGGUGGGGUAAUGGCCUACCAAGGCGUCGACGGGUAGCCGGCCUGAGAGGGUGUACGGCCACAUUGGGACUGAGAGACGGCCCAGACUCCUACGGGAGGCAGCAGUGGGGAAUAUUGCACAAUGGGCGCAAGCCUGAUGCAGCGACGCCGCGUGGGGGAUGACGGCCUUCGGGUUGUAAACACCUUUCGCUAGGGACGAAGCGUAUUUGUGACGGUACCUGGAGAAGAAGCACCGGCUAACUACGUG